GAAGGUGGGGAUGACGUCAAGUCAUCAUGGCCCUUACGACCAGGGCUACACACGUGCUACAAUGGCGCAUACAAAGAGAAGCGACCUCGCGAGAGCAAGCGGACCUCAUAAAGUGCGUCGUAGUCCGGAUUGGAGUCUGCAACUCGACUCCAUGAAGUCGGAAUCGCUAGUAAUCGUGGAUCAGAAUGCCACGGUGAAUACGUUCCCGGGCCUUGUACACACCGCCCGUCACACCAUGGGAGUGGGUUGCAAAAGAAGUAGGUAGCUUAACCUUCGGGAGGGCGCUUACCACUUUGUGAUUCAUGACUGGGGUGAAGUCGUAACAAGGUAACCGUAGG
This 338-nucleotide ribosomal RNA is filed under the name Salmonella enterica subsp. enterica serovar Dublin. Its description in RNAcentral is "bacterial SSU rRNA". It matches the Rfam family "Bacterial small subunit ribosomal RNA", at positions 1169 to 1506 of the family's 1533-position model. Lineage: Bacteria; Pseudomonadati; Pseudomonadota; Gammaproteobacteria; Enterobacterales; Enterobacteriaceae. The record is from RNAcentral.